Molecule: ribosomal RNA, 492 nt
Filed under: uncultured bacterium
Lineage: Bacteria
Description: partial 16S ribosomal RNA
Rfam family: Bacterial small subunit ribosomal RNA
Source: RNAcentral
AGUGAACGCUGGCGGUAGGCCUAACACAUGCAAGUCGAACGGCAGCACAGUAAGAGCUUGCUCUUACGGGUGGCGAGUGGCGGACGGGUGAGGAAUACAUCGGAAUCUACUUUUUCGUGGGGGAUAACGUAGGGAAACUUACGCUAAUACCGCAUACGACCUACGGGUGAAAGCAGGGGAUCUUCGGACCUUGCGCGAUUGAAUGAGCCGAUGUCGGAUUAGCUAGUUGGCGGGGUAAAGGCCCACCAAGGCGGCGAUCCGUAGCUAGUCUGAGAGGAUGAUCAGCCACACUGGAACUGAGACACGGUCCAGACUCCUACGGGAGGCAGCAGUGGGGAAUAUUGGACAAUGGGCGCAAGCCUGAUCCAGCCAUACCGCGUGGGUGAAGAAGGCCUUCGGGUUGUAAAGCCCUUUUGUUGGGAAAGAAAAGCAGCAGGUUAAUACCCCGCUGUUCUGACGGUACCCAAAGAAUAAGCACCGGCUAACUUCGUG